Molecule: ribosomal RNA, 382 nt
Filed under: uncultured eukaryote
Lineage: Eukaryota
Description: partial 18S ribosomal RNA
Rfam family: Eukaryotic small subunit ribosomal RNA
Source: RNAcentral
UGUAAGCGUAUACCAAAGUUGUUGCAGUUAAAACGCUCGUAGUCGGAAUUUGGCAGUUCCGGAAGUGUGCACGUCGUGUGCGCACUUUGCGGGGACUGCUUUUGUGGUCUUGCGUAGGAUGAGGCACUUUCAUUAGUGAACGUCCUCACGCAACCCCUCUUUACUGUGAGAAAAUCAGAGUGCUCAAAGCAGGCAUUUGCCGUGAAUGUAUUAGCAUGGAAUAAUAGAAUAGGACUCGGUUCUAUUUUGUUGGUUUGUUGGGACUGAGUAAUGAUUAAGAGGGACAGUUGGGGGCAUUUGUAUUCCGGCGCUAGAGGUGAAAUUCUUAGAUUGCCGGAAGACAAACUGCUGCGAAAGCGUCUGCCAAGGAUGUUUUCAUUGA